RNAcentral lists this non-coding RNA (45 nucleotides) under Schistosoma mansoni. The record is from RNAcentral. Lineage: Eukaryota; Metazoa; Platyhelminthes; Trematoda; Strigeidida; Schistosomatidae.
GUCCGGCUGACGAGUCCCAAAUAGGACGAAACACGCGUCGCGGAU